CUGCCUCCUUCUUUCCCGUCUGCGUCGGCUGCCUCCAACGCCGCAGCUUUGCUGCCGCCUCCUCUCCCAUCUGACGGGAGCAUGCUGACAAAUGGCCUCUCCCUCAAGGAGUCCGCGCGUGUGCUGCUCGCGCUGACCGCGCUCUACGGCGCCCUCUCCCUCCGCGCGUAUUGCAUCCAUUGCCUGCAUGGCAUUAGAAAUCGGAUUGACUUGUUUGGGCUCUCUGGGGCUGCUCUGCUCAACUUGUGUUCGAUGAAAUGCUCCUUAGGGGAUAAGAAGUUAAGAACCCUGGUUUCGUGCAAUCAUGUGAAAUCAAAUCUUCUUGAUCUAGGUCACCAACCAAUGUGGUUAACAUUUUACCUUAAUUACAAUAGUGUGCUUAUUGGUUUAUGCACUAACCGUUGUUUGCUUCUUAUCCCUUGUAUCACUUGUAUCCCUUAAUUACAAUAGUGUGGUUAACAUUUUACCUGAAUUACAAUAGUGAGCAAUUUUACUUUAUAUGCUCAGAUUUUGGUUGCAACUUAUCCCUUGUAUCACUUGUAUACAUGCUGAAGCAUUACAAGAAGGUUUGUUAGCUGAUGAUGGAUCAAUUGCACUUUUCAGACUUCUCUCUUUUGAACAGGCUAUGUCAAGCAUUACUGAAGGCUAUUCGAUGCUGGGGGUCUUGGUGCAAACAUCAAGUGGCAGUAAACACUGUGGCAGCAAUGAUGGAUCAAUUGCAAGUCUGCAUCUUUGCAUCAAUUGCAAAAUGACAAUCUAAACUUCAAAUAGCCCCUGCUGCAGUGCAGAAAAGCUCUUCCUGUUUGGCAUGUCGAAUCUGUGCCAUUCAUCAAAGAUUUCAUAUCAGAUGUCCUACAUACUGUCAGGUCAUGAAUUUCUUGUAACAGCUGAACAUGUUUGGGAUCUUUAAAAUGUGUAAGCAGAUCAUUGACAUCUGCUUUAGUUUGCUCAUUGUUGCAAUUCAGUUUUGGUUGAUGUCACUAUGCUUAUUUCUGUUCUUACAAGUUGGCCGUAGCGUUAGCACGGGCCACUUACUAGUCCUCUUGUAGUUGUAGGUGCGUACCUGCGAUUUCUUCUUCUCUGUACGUUGCCCCCGAUACGGGGAAUUACAAAAGACAUUCCUGGGAUGCGCCGAGAUGAUAUUAGUGCCAACGGCGGCGAAGAAAAAGGGACGACGACGCGGUGCCGCCAAGCAGAUGCAAGGAGGCGGCAAGCGCUUAUGCUCCUCAGGCGGACGCAAGCUCGGCUGAUGCGGCAACUUUAGCUUGCGGAUGGUGUAGCCCCACGGCCAGUCAUCAAAGAUGAGGUAAAGGUGCUGCUGCCCCGUCGGAAGAGGGGCAUCAUGACUUCCCUCCGGCAUACAUGCUCAAAUUAAUAAAAUCUACAAGAGCACUGAGAUGGAGAUGUUGUUGUUCUACACUUGAUGGACUUCCAUGCAUACAUGCUCAAAUUAAUAAAAUCUCUUUGAAUGCUUGACGA
Long non-coding RNA from Panicum virgatum (switchgrass), 1479 nucleotides. RefSeq lists it as uncharacterized. NCBI's taxonomy places the organism in Eukaryota, Viridiplantae, Streptophyta, Magnoliopsida, Poales, Poaceae. The transcript is spliced from 3 exons. The record is from RefSeq and is a predicted model, not a curated record.